UUGAACGCUGGCGGCAGGCCUAACCCAUGCCAGUCGAGCGGAUGAAGGGAGCUUGCUCCUGGAUUCAGCGGCGGACGGGUGGGUAAUGCCUAGGAAUCUGCCUGGUAGUGGGGGAUAACGUCCGGAAACGGGCGCUAAUACCGCAUACGUCCUGCGGGAGAAAGUGGGGGAUCUUCGGGCCUCACGCUAUCAGAUGAGCCUAGGUCGGAUUAGCUAGUUGGUGGGGUAAAGGCCUUCCAAGGCGACGAUCCGUAACUGGUCUGAGAGGAUGAUCAGUCACACUGGAACUGAGACACGGUCCAGACUCCUACGGGAGGCAGCAGUGGGGAAUAUUGGACAAUGGGCGAAAGCCUGAUCCAGCCAUGGCGCGUGUGUGAAGAAGGUCUUCGGAUUGUAAAGCACUUUAAGUUGGGAGGAAGGGCAGUAAGUUAAUACCUUGCUGUUUUGACGUUACCAACAGAAUAAGCACCGGCUAACUUCGUG
Molecule: ribosomal RNA, 483 nt
Filed under: uncultured bacterium
Lineage: Bacteria
Description: partial 16S ribosomal RNA
Rfam family: Bacterial small subunit ribosomal RNA
Source: RNAcentral